Molecule: ribosomal RNA, 478 nt
Filed under: uncultured bacterium
Lineage: Bacteria
Description: partial 16S ribosomal RNA
Rfam family: Bacterial small subunit ribosomal RNA
Source: RNAcentral
GACGAACGCUGGCGGCGUGCUUAACACAUGCAAGUCGAACGGUAAGGCCCUUCGGGGUACACGAGUGGCGAACGGGUGAGUAACACGUGGGUGAUCUGCCCUGCACUUCGGGAUAAGCCUGGGAAACUGGGUCUAAUACCGGAUAGGACUCCGGACUGCAUGGUCUGGGGUGGAAAGCUUUUGCGGUGUGGGAUGGGCCCGCGGCCUAUCAGCUUGUUGGUGGGGUGAUGGCCUACCAAGGCGACGACGGGUAGCCGGCCUGAGAGGGUGACCAGCCACACUGGGACUGAGAUACGGCCCAGACUCCUACGGGGGGCAGCAGUGGGGAAUAUUGCACAAUGGGCGCAAGCCUGAUGCAGCGACGCCGCGUGAGGGAUGACGGCCUUCGGGUUGUAAACCUCUUUCAGCAUCGACGAAGCGAAAGUGACGGUAGGUGCAGAAGAAGGACCGGCCAACUACGUGCCAGCAGCCGCUGUAA